Molecule: ribosomal RNA, 2413 nt
Filed under: Prevotella sp. KH2C16
Lineage: Bacteria; Pseudomonadati; Bacteroidota; Bacteroidia; Bacteroidales; Prevotellaceae
Description: bacterial LSU rRNA
Rfam family: Bacterial large subunit ribosomal RNA
Source: RNAcentral
AGUACCGUGAGGGAAAGGUGAAAAGCACUUCGAGCAGAAGAGUGAAAUAGUUCCUGAAACCAUGCGCCUACAAGCGGUCGGAGCAUGCUUUGCAUGUGACGGCGUGCCUUUUGCAUAAUGAACCUACGAGUUGCCGUCGCCGGCGAGGAUAAGCCCCACGAGUGGCGCAUCCGCAGUGCAAGCGAGCCUUAAUAGGGCGUUUUGAGUCGGCGGGGGCAGACGCGAAACCAAGUGAUCUACGCAUGUCCAGGGUGAAGUUCCGGUAACACGGAAUGGAGGCCCGCACCAAUAAGCGUUGAAAAGCUUCUGGAUGAGGUGUGCGUAGGAGUGAAAGGCCAAUCAAACUUGGAGAUAGCUCGUACUCCCCGAAAGGCAUUUAGGUGCCGCGUGUGGCGUUCCGCAUGAGAGGUAGAGCGACCGAUAGGUCGAGAGGGCUUCGCCGCCUAUCGAGACCUGACGAACUCCGAAUGCUCAUGCGCCGGAGCCAUGCAGUAAGGGGGCGGGUGCUAAGGUCCGUCCCCGAGAGGAGAAGAAUCCAGACCGCCGUCUAAGGUCCCGGAAUUCUGCCUGAGUUAGUCUAACGAAGUGCGGUCCCGGUGACAGCCAGGAUGUUGGCUUGGAAGCAGCCAUUCAUUCAAAGAGUGCGUAACAGCUCACUGGUCGAGGGUCCGCGCGUGGAUAAUAAUCGGGUAUAAGGCAGAUACCGAAGGCGCGGGAUAGCAGUUUUUUUUCUGCACGUAUCGGUAGGGGAGCAUUCCGUGGGCGCAGAAUGCGGGGGGCGACCCCCGCUGGAGCCCACUGAAAGGCAAAUGUAGGUAUAAGUAACGACAAGGAGGGUGAGAUCCCCUCCCGCCGGAAGUCCAAGGUUUCCCGGGCAAUGCCAGUCAUCCCGGGGUCAGUCGGGUCCUAAGCCUCAGCCGAAUGGCGAUGGCGAUGGCGGAAACGGUCAACAUUCCGUUACUGCCGCACGGAGCGACGCGGCGACGCAGGAGUGAAACGGCCGCGGGGUAACGGUAUACCCCGUUGAAGGGCGUAGCAGCCGAGGGGGGCAGGGAAGUCCGUCCCCCGAUGCGACCCCCAUAGUACGGGGCCUUCCCCGGAAGGCCCCGAUAGUGCCGGUAACCAUACUGCCGAGAAAACCCGCUACGCAGAUCCGUUCGGCACCCGUACCGCAGACCGACACAGGUAGACGGGUAGAACAUACCGAGGCGUUGAGAGACUCAUGGUCAAGGAACUAGGCAAACUGACCCCGUAACUUCGGGACAAGGGGUCCUCAUGGCGACAUGAGGCGCAGAGAAUAGGUCCAGGCAACUGUUUAACAAAAACACAGGGCUGUGCGAACUCGAAAGAUGAUGUAUACAGCCUGACACCUGCCCGGUGCCGGAAGGUUAAGAGGAGGCGUUACCAGCGAUGGGAGGCGCCGAUUUGAAGCCCCGGUAAACGGCGGCCGUAACUAUAACGGUCCUAAGGUAGCGAAAUUCCUUGUCGGGUAAGUUCCGACCUGCACGAAUGGUGUAAUGAUCCGGACGCUGUCUCGACCAUGAUCUCAGUGAAAUUGUAGUAUCGGUGAAGAUGCCGAUUACCCGCGAUGGGACGAAAAGACCCCGUGAACCUUUACUACAGCUUAGCACUGACCCUGGCCAUCCGACGUGUAGGAUAGGCCGGAGGCUUCGAAGCCGGGGCGCCAGCCCCGGCGGAGCCGCCCUUGAAAUACGGCCCUUCGGCUGUCCGGGGUCUAACGCGCUCUGUCGCGGACACUGCUUGGCGGGUAGUUUGACUGGGGUGGUCGCCUCCAAAAGCGUAACGGAGGCUUCCAAAGGUGCCCUCCGGCCGUUCGGUAACCGGCCUUUUAGAGUGCAAUGGCAUAAGGGCGCUUGACUGGGAGGGAGACAUCCCGAGCAGGCAGGAAACUGGGGCAUAGUGAUCCGGUGCACGCGCAUGGAAGCUGCAUCGCUCAAAGGAUAAAAGGUACUCCGGGGAUAACAGGCUGAUCCCCCCCAAGAGCUCAUAUCGACGGGGUGGUUUGGCACCUCGAUGUCGGCUCGUCACAUCCUGGGGCUGGAGAAGGUCCCAAGGGUUGGGCUGUUCGCCCAUUAAAGUGGCACGCGAGCUGGGUUCAGAACGUCGUGAGACAGUUCGGUCUCUAUCUAUCGCGGGCGUUGGAGUUUUGCGUGGUGCCGCCACUAGUACGAGAGGACCGUGGCGGACGGACCUCCGGUCUGCCGGUUGUGCCGCCAGGCGCACCGCCGGGUAUCCGCGUCCGGACGGGAUAAGCGCUGAAUGCAUCUAAGCGCGAAGCCCGCCGCAAGAUGAGAGCUCCUUUUCGAGGGCCGUCCCAGACGAGGACGUCGAUAGGGCGCAGGUGUAAAGGCGGCGACGCCAAAGCCGAGCGCUACUAAUUGCCCGAACCUUU